This 73-nucleotide transfer RNA is filed under the name Phycisphaerae bacterium. Its description in RNAcentral is "tRNA-Phe". It matches the Rfam family "tRNA". Rfam says of the family: Transfer RNA (tRNA) molecules are approximately 80 nucleotides in length. The record is from RNAcentral. Lineage: Bacteria; Pseudomonadati; Planctomycetota; Phycisphaerae.
GGGUAGGUAGCUCAGCUGGUAGAGCAACGGACUGAAAAUCCGUGUGUCGCCGGUUCAAUUCCGGCCCUACCCA